AGUGAACGCUGGCGGCAGGCCUAACACAUGCAAGUCGAACGGCAGCACGGCAGUAGCAAUACUGUGGGUGGCGAGUGGCGGACGGGUGAGGAAUACAUCGGGAUCUACCCUGUUGUGGGGGGAUAACGUAGGGAAACUUACGCUAAUACCGCAUAAGAACUGAGGUUGAAAGCGGCGGACCGCAAGGCGUCGCGCGAUUGGAUGAACCGAUGUCCGAUUAGCUAGUUGGCGGGGUAAAGGCCCACCAAGGCGACGAUCGGUAGCUGGUCUGAGAGGACGACCAGCCACACUGGAACUGAGACACGGUCCAGACUCCUACGGGAGGCAGCAGUGGGGAAUAUUGGACAAUGGGCGCAAGCCUGAUCCAGCCAUGCCGC
RNAcentral lists this ribosomal RNA (377 nucleotides) under uncultured bacterium. RNAcentral describes it as "bacterial SSU rRNA". It matches the Rfam family "Bacterial small subunit ribosomal RNA", at positions 29 to 400 of the family's 1533-position model. The record is from RNAcentral.